RNAcentral lists this transfer RNA (65 nucleotides) under Dorypteryx domestica. RNAcentral's name for it is "tRNA-Ser". Lineage: Eukaryota; Metazoa; Arthropoda; Insecta; Psocodea; Psyllipsocidae. The record is from RNAcentral.
AGUUAAUUAGUCUAAACAAGACUAAUGUUUUGAAAACAUUUUAUAGAUAUUUUGUCUAUUAACUU